GAAUAGUAUGAAAGUAAUUAGAAUAUGUAGUGUAGCGGUGAAAUGCUUAGAUAUUACAUGGAAUACCAAUUGCGAAGGCAGAUUACUACGUACUUAUUGACGCUGAUGAACGAAAGCGUGGGUAGCGAACAGGAUUAGAUACCCUGGUAGUCCACGCCGUAAACGAUGGAUACUAGCUGUUCGGUUUUCGGACUGAGUGGCUAAGCGAAAGUGAUAAGUAUCCCACCUGGGGAGUACGUUCGCAAGAAUGAAACUCAAAGGAAUUGACGGGGGCCCGCACAAGCGGUGGAGCAUGUGGUUUAAUUCGAUGAUACGCGAGGAACCUUACCAAGGCUUAAAUGUAGAUUGACAGGUUUAGAGAUAGACUUUUCUUCGGACAAUUUACAAGGUGCUGCAUGGUUGUCGUCAGCUCGUGCCGUGAGGUGUCAGGUUAAGUCCUAUAACGAGCGCAACCCCUAUUGUUAGUUGCCAGCGAGUAAUGUCGGGAACUCUAACAAGACUGCCGGUGCAAACCGUGAGGAAGGUGGGGAUGACGUCAAAUCAUCACGGCCCUUACGUCUUGGGCUACACACGUGCUACAAUGGCCAGUACAGAAAGCAGCUACCAGGCAACUGGAUGCGAAUCUCAAAAACUGGUCUCAGUUCGGAUUGGAGUCUGCAACUCGACUCCAUGAAGCUGGAAUCGCUAGUAAUCGGAUAUCAGCCAUGAUCCGGUGAAUACGUUCCCGGGCCUUGUACACACCGCCCGUCAAGCCAUGGAAGCCGGGGGUACCUGAAGUCGGUCGCCGCAAGGAGCUGCCUAGGGUAAAACUGGUAACUAGGGCUAAGUCGUANCAAGGUAGCCGUCCCGGAAGGUGCGGC
Molecule: ribosomal RNA, 860 nt
Filed under: uncultured bacterium
Lineage: Bacteria
Description: bacterial SSU rRNA
Rfam family: Bacterial small subunit ribosomal RNA
Source: RNAcentral